This 1005-nucleotide long non-coding RNA is filed under the name Toxoplasma gondii VEG. Lineage: Eukaryota; Apicomplexa; Conoidasida; Eucoccidiorida; Sarcocystidae. The record is from RNAcentral.
CUGUGUGCGAACUAAAAACUGCUAGACGUAACUGGUAGCACUGCAGAGCAGACUCUUGUGUGAUGCACCUGAAGCAGUCGCACGCACAACAGCGCAGUGCAGGCAAUUCUCGUCUCAGCGGAAGUAUCAACCUAACGAAGGCCCACCAGGGCUAGCAGUGUUUUGACUUUUGGUGCCCACCAGGCAUUUGUUGUCUCGACCCUCGCCAACUCUGCGUUUCGAUUGUGGGAUACCCGGACUAAGAGAGCCAGGAAUGUUUAAACUUCACUCAUCCGCUUGAACACUGUGUGGUGAUUGGGUUGGGCCUGUAAAUUGGUUGCUUCGGCCUCCGAGCGCGACGGUUAUUACAAGGUUCUGCACACAUUCCAACAAUAAAUUUGCGAACUUUCUUGCCCGCCUUGCAUAAGUGAAGCUGAAAAAGUUUAUUCCGCUCUCUUCACAGGUUCUGCUAACGUCCGAGCCGUAUCGGUGACCGCAUCCGAGGUUUCAGCCCUGCGCUUUCGACGGCAGGCGAUUUCCUUGUGAAUUCCCUCCCAAUCUCCCUUUUAGGCAGCCACCUAUAACGACAGCGUCUCCAAUGGCUUGUUCGGUGUUGUUUGGCGUCCGGAUUCCAGAAAUGUGGGACGCACCACGGUCACACCAUGACAAUGUCCAUGUGAAGAAAGAGUCCAUGAGACUUACCUUCACUGUUGCAUACAGGCGGCUUUGAUGUAUUUGUGAGAUGUUUGCGGAGUCCUGGUUUGCCUCUUGAACUAAUCAAACGCAUUCUCUCACUUCAUACACUUCACAUUGUUGAUUGUGAUCCUGGUACCGCGACAGAGCCGCCAGGCACAAUGUUAUUCUCGAGUUGACAAUCCUAGUGUUUGACCCAGAAUCUGUCCGGAAUUUUGAAGAGAGAGAAUCGCGAUUUCCCAUAGUAGCAGCAUCGGUCUCUGAGAUUUACAGUUGAGUUUCCAAUAAGAAUUGUCCGGAACGAUCAGUCCACUGAGACUCACUUGCACCUCC